Molecule: transfer RNA, 67 nt
Filed under: Proechimys goeldii
Lineage: Eukaryota; Metazoa; Chordata; Mammalia; Rodentia; Echimyidae
Also listed under: 1 other name
Description: tRNA-Thr
Rfam family: tRNA
About the family: Transfer RNA (tRNA) molecules are approximately 80 nucleotides in length. Their secondary structure includes four short double-helical elements and three loops (D, anti-codon, and T loops).
Source: RNAcentral
GCCUUAGUAGUAUAAAAAUUACAUUGGUCUUGUAAACCAAAAAUGAAAUAUAAUUCUUCCUAAGACA